CCUACGGGAGGCUGCAGUGGGGAAUAUUGGGCAAUGGAGGAAACUCUGACCCAGCAACGCCGCGUGAAUGAUGAAGGUCUUCGGAUUUUAAAGUUUUUUUCUAAGGGAAAAAGAAAUUAACGUUACCUUAGCAUUAACCCUCGCCUAACUAGGUGCCAGCAGCGGCGGUAAUACGUAGGAGGCGGGCGUUAUCCGGAAUGACUGGGCGUAAAGGGUGCGUAGGGGGUUUGGCAAGUUAGUAGCUUACUUCCAAGGCUGAACCUUGGAACUACUACUAAAACUGUUGGACUUGAGUGCAGGAGGGGCAACCGGAAUUCCUAGUGUAGCGGUGGAAUGCGUAGAUAUUAGGAGGAACACCAGUGGCGAAGGCGGGUUGCUAGACUGUAACUGACACUGAGGCACGAAAGCGUGGGGAGCAAACAGGAUUAGAUACCCGUGUAGUC
This 443-nucleotide ribosomal RNA is filed under the name uncultured bacterium. Its description in RNAcentral is "partial 16S ribosomal RNA". It matches the Rfam family "Bacterial small subunit ribosomal RNA", at positions 338 to 795 of the family's 1533-position model. The record is from RNAcentral.